Long non-coding RNA from Mesocricetus auratus (golden hamster), 503 nucleotides. RefSeq lists it as uncharacterized. The transcript is spliced from 3 exons. The record is from RefSeq and is a predicted model, not a curated record. Lineage: Eukaryota; Metazoa; Chordata; Mammalia; Rodentia; Cricetidae.
AAGACAGCAAGGCAGGGGAGGUACUCACAGCACCCAUGAGCGCCAGCCCAGAACCUACGUUGAUGACUGUAGGGAUGAUGCUGAAUUUUCCUGCCUGUGAAGUAGAAACAGCCAGGAGCAAAGGAAGGCUUGGACCAAAGUCUAUCAGCGGAGCCUCCAUCAAGCUGCCCCUGGGCUGGUGAGCCUACAUCCUGCUAGAUUAGAUGGCAACAGGGGGGCAGUAGAGCAGCUGGACACUGGAAAGACUGCCCUGCCCGUGUUUCCCGUGAGCUAACCCUGAGUUCCAGAACAUGCCAGUGGGAUGAGCUGGCCCAACCAAAAAGAGAAACUGCCAGGUUCAUCUGUCUAAACAGGACAUAGAGCUUCAACAACAAAGGAAAGAGGCCACAAGGCCAGGGUAGGGGCAGUAGGUCUGAGGUUAGCUGUCCUCCAAGGUACUGAAAGCAGUAUCAGAGCCCAGUGGCUUCUCCUUGCAAACAUGAUGAGUGGAACUGACCUUGAAU